RNAcentral lists this ribosomal RNA (304 nucleotides) under uncultured Acetobacterium sp. Its description in RNAcentral is "bacterial SSU rRNA". It matches the Rfam family "Bacterial small subunit ribosomal RNA", at positions 1076 to 1382 of the family's 1533-position model. The record is from RNAcentral. Lineage: Bacteria; Bacillati; Bacillota; Clostridia; Eubacteriales; Eubacteriaceae.
UUGGUUAAGUCCCGCACGAGCGCAACCCCUGUGGUUAGUUGCCAUCAGUUAGUUGGGUCACUCUAAGCAGACUGCCGUGGAUAACACGGAGGAAGGUGGGACGACGUCAAAUCAUCAUGCCCCUUAUGACCUGGGCUACACACGUGCUACAAUGGUCUGAACAGAGGGCUGCGAAACCGCGAGGUGAAGCUAAUCCCUUAAAACAGAUCUCAGUUCGGAUUGCAGGCUGCAAUUCGCCUGCAUGAAGUUGGAGUUGCUAGUAAUCGCAGAUCAGAAUGCUGCGGUGAAUGCGUUCCCGGGUCUU